AUGGCCAUAUUAUAGUCAAACACCAGUUCUUGUUUGAUCACUGAAGUUAAGCAAUGUUGAGCCUGGUCACCUAGAUGGGUGACUACUUGGGAAUACCAAGUGCU
Non-coding RNA from Acanthosepion pharaonis, 104 nucleotides. The record is from the annotation of a GenBank genome assembly. Lineage: Eukaryota; Metazoa; Mollusca; Cephalopoda; Sepiida; Sepiidae.